AGAGUUUGAUCCUGGCUCAGGAUGAACGCUAGCGGCAGGCUUAACACAUGCAAGUCGAACGGUAACAGGGAAAAGCUUGCUUUUCUGCUGACGAGUGGCGAACGGGUGCGUAACACGUAUGCAACUUACCUUUAACACAGGGGGAUAGCCCAGAGAAAUCUGGAUUAAUACCCCAUAACAUUAUCAUUUCGCAUGUUAUGAUAAUUAAAACUCCGGUGGUUAGAGAUAGGCAUGCGUCCCAUUAGUUAGUUGGUAAGGUAACGGCUUACCAAGGCAGCGAUGGGUAGGGGGUCUGAGAGGAUGAUCCCCCACACUGGUACUGAGACACGGACCAGACUCCUACGGGAGGCAGCAGUGAGGAAUAUUGGGCAAUGGACGCAAGUCUGACCCAGCCAUCCCGCGUGAAGGACGACGGCCUUAUGGGUUGUAAACUUCUUUUAUGUACCAAGAAAGUUAUCUAUGUAUAGAUAUUUGACGGUAGUAUAUGAAUAAGCAUCGGCUAACUCCGUGCCAGCAGCCGCGGUAAUACGGAGGAUGCAAGCGUUAUCCGGAUUUAUUGGGUUUAAAGGGUGCGCAGGCGGACUAAUAAGUCAGUGGUGAAAUCUUUCGGCUUAACCGGGAAACUGCCAUUGAUACUGCGUUUCUUGAGUAUAGUUGAGGUAGGCGGAAUGUAUAAUGUAGCGGUGAAAUGCUUAGAUAUUAUACAGAACACCGAUUGCGUAGGCAGCUUACUAAACUAUAACUGACGCUGAGGCACGAAAGCGUGGGGAGCGAACAGGAUUAGAUACCCUGGUAGUCCACGCCGUAAACGAUGAUCACUCGUUGUUGGCGAUACACAGUCAGCGACUGAGCGAAAGCAUUAAGUGAUCCACCUGGGGAGUACGGUCGCAAGAUUGAAACUCAAAGGAAUUGACGGGGGCCCGCACAAGCGGAGGAACAUGUGGUUUAAUUCGAUGAUACGCGAGGAACCUUACCUGGGCUUAAAUGUAGAGUGCAUAAACGGGAAACUGUUUUUUCCUUCGGGACUCUUUACAAGGUGCUGCAUGGUUGUCGUCAGCUCGUGCCGUGAGGUGUCGGGUUAAGUCCCAUAACGAGCGCAACCCCUAUCGUUAGUUGCCAGCGAGUCAAGUCGGGGACUCUAACGAGACUGCCGGUGUAAACCGCGAGGAAGGUGGGGAUGACGUCAAAUCAGCACGGCCCUUACGUCCAGGGCUACACACGUGUUACAAUGGCCGAUACAAAGGGCAGCUACCAGGUGACUGGAUGCUAAUCUCUAAAGUCGGUCUUAGUUCGGAUCGAAGUCUGCAACUCGACUUCGUGAAGCUGGAUUCGCUAGUAAUCGUAGAUCAGCAACGCUACGGUGAAUACGUUCCCGGGCCUUGUACACACCGCCCGUCAAGCCAUGGAAGUUGGGGGUACCUGAAGUCUGUCACCGUAAGGAGCGGCCUAGGGUAAAACUGAUAACUGGGGCUAAGUCGGAACAAGGUA
RNAcentral lists this ribosomal RNA (1488 nucleotides) under uncultured prokaryote. RNAcentral describes it as "partial 16S ribosomal RNA". It matches the Rfam family "Bacterial small subunit ribosomal RNA". The record is from RNAcentral.